CCUACGGGAGGCAGCAGUAGGGAAUAUUGCGCAAUGGGCGAAAGCCUGACGCAGCGACGCCGCGUGGAUGAUGAAGCCCUUCGGGGUGUAAAGUCCUUUCAGCGGGGACGAACCGGCCGCAAGGCCCUGACGGUACCCGCAGAAGAAGCACCGGCCAACUCCGUGCCAGCAGCCGCGGUAAUACGGAGGGUGCGAGCGUUGUUCGGAUUCACUGGGCGUAAAGGGUGCGUAGGCGGGUCGGCAGGUCGGAUGUGAAACCCCCACAGCUUAACUGGGGGCCGGCAUUCGAAACCGCCGAUCUUGAGUGCGGGAGAGGAGAGCGGAAUUCCUGGUGUAGCGGUGAAAUGCGUAGAUAUCAGGAAGAACACCGGUGGCGAAGGCGGCUCUCUGGCCCGACACUGACGCUCAGGCACGAAGGCUAGGGGAGCAAACAGGAUUAGAUACCCUGGUAGUCCUAGCGGUAAACGAUGGGCACUAGGUGUUGGGGGUAUUGACCCCCCCAGUGCCGAAGCUAACGCAUUAAGUGCCCCGCCUGGGGAGUACGGCCGCAAGGUUGAAACUCAAAGGAAUUGACGG
RNAcentral lists this ribosomal RNA (576 nucleotides) under uncultured bacterium. RNAcentral's name for it is "bacterial SSU rRNA". It matches the Rfam family "Bacterial small subunit ribosomal RNA", at positions 338 to 916 of the family's 1533-position model. The record is from RNAcentral.